Molecule: non-coding RNA, 1434 nt
Organism: Peromyscus maniculatus bairdii (prairie deer mouse)
Lineage: Eukaryota; Metazoa; Chordata; Mammalia; Rodentia; Cricetidae
Source: RefSeq, a predicted model, not a curated record
UUCACGGGCACACUGGCCUCUUGUGGUGUCUGAGGGAGAAGGGCCCUCCUUAGAAAUCCCUGGGCUGUGAGCUCUGGGAAGGUUGUGGAACCUUUUGAAUUUUUUAUUUUGAUCGUUAAUCAAAAGUUCAAUAUCUCAUCUGGAGGAGUGAUGGAUUUCUAGCCCCUUCCUGUGUAUCUUCCUAUAGUCUGACUCCAUCCAGUCCCUCUGUCUCUGAGCCUCAGUGUCCUCCAGGAAGGACUUGCAAGACAAGAUGGGCACAAUGUAAAAACCAUGUGGGAAGUUUUGGAGAGCCUUUGUCUCUGCAAGGGAACCCCUUUACGCCAGCCAAGAUGUGGUUUGGCUCAUCCCUGGAAGCCUGAUCAACCCACCAGACCAAUUUAUAUAAAGAAAACUCUUUCUCCUCUAGAAGCCACCAACUUCAUCUAAAAUCCGUGAUAAUGGAGACCUUGUUUGGGUCUCUGCUUAUUUCUGGGGCACAGAUAUGUGCCGGUACUGAGGAAGUGUCCCACCAAUGACUUCUAAAGGGAGUUGACACUCACUGAAAGCUUGAGAGCAUCACAAAGUUACUCAAAAUCAAUUCUGGGAUAUUAAUUGGUAAAUAGAGAAAACGCUGCAUUUUUUCCCAAGUGUUGUCCUUCUUCAGCUUGUGCUGCCUGAACCAUUUGAAGCCAAGAUGUAACACAAUCAGGUCAGAAAUUCUCCAACUUGUGUUUACAUAAGUGUAUCAACAAGCAUUAGUAUCAUGAUUGCUUUGUAUAUUUUCCCGUUUUUAUACAGUAUAAGUUUUCUUGUCGAAAGAUUAUUAUUGUUACCCAUAUAAAGAGUGCUUAAAAUAAUGUGAACAAGAAAAAAGUGUCAUAUACUAAUAAAGAAAGUAUAUGAAUAAAUCAGAAAAAUAAAUGAAAUGUACAAUAAACACAAAUUCUGCUCUCGGUUAUAAUAAAAACAUAAACUGAAACUUCAAUAGUGAAACAUUUUAGCUAAUCAGUUAUUUCAUUUUCCAGUUUUGUCUCAAUAUUAAUUGUAAGGAUAUCAAGUACAUGAAAUCCAUGCUUACACUUACUGUAUAAAUAAUUAUGGUCCUGCAAGAGCCAGUGGGAAAACACACAAGAAGAGCCAAGCAUUAAUACACUUUCCUAAAUCAUGUCUUUAGGGAUUGAACAAGAAAUGGCAUUAAUUAUAAAUGUGCAACACCUUUUAGUGUCUUUAUUCUAAUAAAGUUUGAAAGUAGUUACAUAUCCCACAAUAGGAAAGAGUUAAUGAGUGAUGAUGAAAUUCAGGAAAUAUUAAAUCUACACCACCAUUUACAGAUAUUUAAACAACGUGAAGGAAGUCUCAGGAGAAUAAAAGAAACCUUUAAAUUGUGGGUCAACUGUUUUUUAUGAGUUCAAGGGCAUCUAUUUGUUUAUGUUUAUUAUUGUCUGUCUUCGG